Molecule: non-coding RNA, 1847 nt
Organism: Lolium perenne
Lineage: Eukaryota; Viridiplantae; Streptophyta; Magnoliopsida; Poales; Poaceae
Source: RefSeq, a predicted model, not a curated record
CCAGAUUUCCCCAGAUUUCCCUUCACGCCUCCACCUCCAGGACUCUCGCCUGCCAUCGAUCUAACCAUGUCGCCUCCGCCACCUCCUGAACAACAGGUCUACGAGCCGGCCUGCGAACUUCCGCUGCCGUAGAUGAUUCACCAUUGAUUUUGGAAAGAACCUGAUUGUGGUGGUUCGUUUUUCCAUCGGGGUCUCACUAGAGAGCGUAUGGUUCGGUGCUUCUUGUGCAGCCUGGUGUCUUCUGGAUUCUUGUGUUCUUGGUCGGACCUCUAUUACUGCAGUUCCUAAACACCCACCGCUCAGGCUACCACAAAGUAGUACUCUCUACCUUCCGAAUAUUACUGUGUGCCUAUUUUACUCUCUGAUGAAAUUUCAGCUGGUAUGUUCGGUUCACAUGGUAGAUUAUCACUUCUACAAUCUUUUUUUGCAGCUUGGUCCUCUUCUAGUGUUGUACGUGUAGUGUCUGACUUCUAUGUGCUGACGGGAUUUAUUUAUUUGUUCGAAGUGUGAACAUCCAGCCUGUGCAUUACUCGUAUCUUAGAUGGAUCAGCCUCUACCUGCAAAAAAAAGAUGGACCCGCCUCUCUGAAUGUUGAUACUAGCUCAUGAGCAUAAUUUGUUCUUGUGGCUUCGUAUGUCAAUGGUAUUCAACCUCGGGAAAGAUAAGGCACAUAUAGCUUAGUGCAAAACUGCGGAAACACAGACGUCCGUGCAAUGUCAAUACGUGCCAACAUGUAUUUUCUUAAUGUAAGUGAUAUUGACUUCUGCAUUUUUUCCCUCUUUUAUCAGUUGGAAUAUCCUUGUAUUUAGGAUUAUUUCAAGGGACUUGUAGCUCAGAAACCUGAUUUUGCAAACACCAGUAAUGUAUAUAUAUAGAUUGCAUGCAAAUGUAAUGUCUUCAAUACAGUACCAGGAAUAGAGAUGUCUCGACAUGUACAUGGGCCAGGAAUAGUUCUGAAUCCUGAUCAGGUAUUUGAUGUACUAUAAACUUCAUCCACUAUCAGACCGCUAGACUUCAGAUAGAAAAUAUUGAUCAACACAUGAAAGACCAAGAUGCUAAGAUGCUAGAUGAGAAGACACAAAACCCUUAACACAUAGGUAGAUCGAAAGAGAGUUUCCAAUACUAAAUCCAUAUACUCAUAUUUAUUAUGUAUUAUAAGAUGCUUUCGGUCAAAUAUCUACAUGCAAUAUGCAUCUUUAGGAAUGUUUAAGGUUUAAUAAAAAUAUAGAAUUUAUUUGAGUAAACAUGAUCGUACUCUUAUUUGGUUUUCAAUCUGCAAAGUGUAUAUUGUGAUCGUCAAUAAAGAACUUGUUACCGUAGGGAAACAGAAUGAUCAGAUGCUAGUGAACUUCUGCAUUAAUUAUUUCUAGUAUGUAUUUUAUAGAAAAGAAACUCAUCUCUUACCCUUCAUAGCUGAGCAAGGAAAACUUUCUAAAUGAUCUAGACAUGCAACCUUUGAAACAUGUGCUCUGGUAGUAGAUAAAUUAUAUGCAAUAGGUUGGAUCUAUAUUAUUUUCGCAGUGCGUGUUGAUGCUACAAUAGCAAGAUCUGACUGGUUCACACACCAGUCCAAAAGGUCAAAAUUAUCUCUAAUGGUAUUGUUACUUACUUACUGAAAUAUAUGUUUUUAUGGUUGUAGAUUGACAAGUUAAAUGGAUGAUGCGUGGGUGAGAGAUGCUGAUAGCAAUGAUGAGGAUAUUGCUACUACUUGAUAGUGUUACAGAAUGUCUUAGACCGCUAUCGUACAUUGCCAAAGUUUAGAGAUUUUUUUUUACUUUGGGUCAUGUUCUUUGUAAUACAACAGAGUUUAUUUAAUAUAUUUUCUUUAUGUUCGCUAUAUAGAAGCU